This 736-nucleotide ribosomal RNA is filed under the name marine metagenome. RNAcentral's name for it is "bacterial SSU rRNA". It matches the Rfam family "Bacterial small subunit ribosomal RNA", at positions 543 to 1279 of the family's 1533-position model. The record is from RNAcentral.
GUUCGGAAUUACUGGGCUUAAAGAGUUCGUAGGUGGUUGAAAAAGUUGGUGGUGAAAUCCCAGAGCUUAACUCUGGAACUGCCAUCAAAACUUUUCAGCUAGAGUAUGAUAGAGGAAAGCAGAAUUUCUAGUGUAGAGGUGAAAUUCGUAGAUAUUAGAAAGAAUACCAAUUGCGAAGGCAGCUUUCUGGAUCAUUACUGACACUGAGGAACGAAAGCAUGGGUAGCGAAGAGGAUUAGAUACCCUCGUAGUCCAUGCCGUAAACGAUGUGUGUUAGACGUUGGAAAUUUAUUUUCAGUGUCGCAGGGAAACCGAUAAACACACCGCCUGGGGAGUACGACCGCAAGGUUAAAACUCAAAUGAAUUGACGGGGACCCGCACAAGUAGUGGAGCAUGUGGUUUAAUUCGAAGAUACGCGCAGAACCUUACCAACACUUGACAUGUUCGUCGCGACUCUAAGAGAUUAGAGUUUUCGGUUCGGCCGGACGAAACACAGGUGCUGCAUGGCUGUCGUCAGCUCGUGUCGUGAGAUGUUGGGUUAAGUCCCGCAACGAGCGCAACCCUCACUUUUAGUUGCCAUCAUUAAGUUGGGCACUCUGAAAGAACUGCCAGUGAUAAGCUGGAGGAAGGUGGGGAUGACGUCAAGUCCUCAUGGCCCUUACGUGUUGGGCUACACACGUGCUACAAUGGCAUCUACAACAGGAAGCAAAACGGCAACGUUAAGCAAAUCCCGAAA